This 565-nucleotide ribosomal RNA is filed under the name Cystofilobasidium infirmominiatum. RNAcentral's name for it is "eukaryotic LSU rRNA". It matches the Rfam family "Eukaryotic large subunit ribosomal RNA", at positions 104 to 659 of the family's 3401-position model. Lineage: Eukaryota; Fungi; Basidiomycota; Tremellomycetes; Cystofilobasidiales; Cystofilobasidiaceae. The record is from RNAcentral.
GAGCUCAAAUUUAAAAUCUGGCAGGCUACGCCUGUCCGAAUUGUAAUCUCSAGAAGUGUUUUCCGCGUUGGCCUGUGUACAAGUCCCUUGGAACAGGGCGUCAUASAGGGUGAGAAUCCCGUCCUUGACACAGACACCCAAUGCUUUGUGAUACACUCUCAGAUGAGUCGAGUUGUUUGGGAAUGCAGCUCAAAAUGGGUGGUAAAUUCCAUCUAAAGCUAAAUACUGGCGAGAGACCGAUAGCGAACAAGUACCGUGAGGGAAAGAUGAAAAGCACUUUGGAAAGAGAGUCAAACAGUACGUGAAAUUGUUGAAAGGGAAACGAUUGAAGUCAGUCGUGCCUGCCUAGAUUCAGCCUUCUGGUGUAUUUCUAGGUCGGCAGGUCAGCAUCAGUUUGGGGGGGUUAACAAGGGGGCUGGGAAUGUGGCAACCUCGGUUGUGUUAUAGCCCAGUUUCGCAUUGAUCUCGCUGGACUGAGGAACGCAUGGCGCCCGCAAGGGUUGGUCUUCGGACACAUUCGCACUUAGGAUGCUGGCAUAAUGGCUUUAAACGACCCGUCUUGAAC